This 71-nucleotide transfer RNA is filed under the name Cordylochernes scorpioides. Its description in RNAcentral is "tRNA-Thr". It matches the Rfam family "tRNA". Rfam says of the family: Transfer RNA (tRNA) molecules are approximately 80 nucleotides in length. The record is from RNAcentral. Lineage: Eukaryota; Metazoa; Arthropoda; Arachnida; Pseudoscorpiones; Chernetidae.
UCCAGGGGCCUAGUGGACAUGGCACCUGCCCGGUAAGCAGAAGGUUGUGGGUUCGAUUCCCGCCCCUGGAA